This 496-nucleotide ribosomal RNA is filed under the name uncultured bacterium. Its description in RNAcentral is "partial 16S ribosomal RNA". It matches the Rfam family "Bacterial small subunit ribosomal RNA", at positions 29 to 507 of the family's 1533-position model. The record is from RNAcentral.
AUGAACGCUGGCGGCGUGCCUAAUACAUGCCAGUCGAGCGAACAGACGAGGAGCUUGCUCCUCUGACGUUAGCGGCGGACGGGUGAGUAACACGUGGAUAACCUACCUAUAAGACUGGGAUAACUUCGGGAAACCGGAGCUAAUACCGGAUAAUAUAUUGAACCGCAUGGUUCAAUAGUGAAAGACGGUUUUGCUAUCACUUAUAGAUGGAUCCGCGCCGCAUUAGCUAGUUGGUAAGGUAACGGCUUACCAAGGCGACGAUGCGUAGCCGAGCUGAGAGGGUGAUCGGCCACGCUAGAACUGAGACACGGUCCAGACUCCUACGGGAGGCAGCAGUAGGGAAUCUUCCGCAAUGGGCGAAAGCCUGACGGAGCAACGCCGCGUGAGUGAUGAAGGUCUUCGGAUCGUAAAACUCUGUUAUUAGGGAAGAACAAAUGUGUAAGUAACUAUGCACGUCUUGACGGUACCUAAUCAGAAAGCCACGGCUAACUACGUG